GUGGAUUAGAUACCCUGGUAGUCCACGCCCUAAACGAUGAAUACUCGAUGUUGGCGAUAUACGGUCAGCGUCUAAGCGAAAGCGUUAAGUAUUCCACCUGGGGAGUACGCCCGCAAGGGUGAAACUCAAAGGAAUUGACGGGGGCCCGCACAAGCGGAGGAGCAUGUGGUUUAAUUCGAUGAUACGCGAGGAACCUUACCCGGGCUUGAAAGUUAGUGAAUGAUUCAGAGACGAAUCAGUCCUUCGGGACACGAAACUAGGUGCUGCAUGGCCGUCGACAACU
This 283-nucleotide ribosomal RNA is filed under the name uncultured bacterium. RNAcentral describes it as "partial 16S ribosomal RNA". It matches the Rfam family "Bacterial small subunit ribosomal RNA", at positions 773 to 1060 of the family's 1533-position model. The record is from RNAcentral.